Long non-coding RNA from Mastomys coucha (southern multimammate mouse), 391 nucleotides. RefSeq lists it as uncharacterized. The record is from RefSeq and is a predicted model, not a curated record. Lineage: Eukaryota; Metazoa; Chordata; Mammalia; Rodentia; Muridae. The transcript is spliced from 3 exons.
GGAUCUGAUGUUAUGUCAUUGAUGAACCUCAACCCUCGUGGUACAUGAAAGAAGAAGCAAGACAACACACCUUGCCUGAAACAACUACAACUAACAUCAACUGAACUUCAUACUUGAGUCAUUGUGGUGUGAUAGCACAUUCAGCAUGUGUUCCGGUGCACUGUACUCCCCUGCACUUGUGCGGCUUUCUCUCACCUGACAGAUUAAACUCAGGUCAUGGUGAGGUCAAGUUGCCAUAUGCAGCUUCUUAAGAUGGUCAAUGGCCUGUAAUGAGGGCAAUAACUGCCAUUCCCCAAGCACCACCGGUUUCUUAUGAAAAGAAUGCUCACUGCCAAUAGCAACAGAAUGGAUAGCCCUGGAGGUCUUCAGUUUUGUGGCUGUUGAACACCAA